UACGAGGGGGGCUAGCGUUGCUCGGAAUCACUGGGCGUAAAGCGCACGUAGGCGGGUCCUUAAGUCAGGGGUGAAAUCCCGGAGCUCAACUCCGGAACUGCCUUUGAUACUGGGGAUCUUGAGUCCGGAAGAGGUGAGUGGAACUCCGAGUGUAGAGGUGAAAUUCGUAGAUAUUCGGAAGAACACCAGUGGCGAAGGCGGCUCACUGGUCCGGUACUGACGCUGAGGUGCGAAAGCGUGGGGAGCAAACAGG
RNAcentral lists this ribosomal RNA (253 nucleotides) under uncultured bacterium. RNAcentral describes it as "partial 16S ribosomal RNA". It matches the Rfam family "Bacterial small subunit ribosomal RNA", at positions 524 to 776 of the family's 1533-position model. The record is from RNAcentral.